AAACCAACAAAACAAAAACUUGUACAUCCUCCCUCCCUCCUAUCUACUCUCUUCUCUUCCAUUAGAUGAGGUAGCAGCAACAAUUAUAAUCUGAGUUCUACACGAACAUCUCAGAGUCCGAGACAUCAAAAUCCACAUGAUCAAAAUCCAGAUCCAAGUUCAAAUCGCAACCCCCGAAAGGCGAAUUUGUGACCGAGUUUGGUGUUGAGUUGAUGAUGUCACUAAGAUCAGAAUCUGAAGUCUGCAAAUUGGGGUUAAAAUCACAGAAAAGGUUCUCUAACUUCUCUGUUUCAAUUGGUGUGGAGGCAAAGGAAAAGCAAGGGAACAAGCCUUCCUCUCCCCCUUUAUAACCCGCCUUAAAGUUAAAGCUAAACGCGCGAUCCAUACACUUUUUUUCUUCUUCUUCUUCUUUCUUGGGCUUUUUGUCCAACGCUUUUGAUAGUUGAGUGGCUUGGAUGCAAGUAUGUCUUCCCCUAUAACUUACUUCAAACACCGAUGAAUCUUCAUCCGAUCGUUGUACUUGUUUUGUUGCUAAACACCCUUGAACGUUUCGAUGAGUGCAUCGUGAUUAGGGGAAUAUGAAUCUGCAGCAGGUGCUUCAUCAAAAGGGUUGUUGAGCAUAGAAAGUGCUUUCUCAUAGGAAGAAAGUAUCCUUUCAACAAGAAACUCACAGGUUUGAGCUGACAAGGUUUGAUCAAGGUGGCCUUUAAGUUGGUUAGCUAGAUCUCUGCCUUGAGUUAGCUCAUUCAUCAAAGGCUUUUUUUCCAUUUGGUUAGGAAGUGAAUGUGUGCAAGUGAUGUUGAUCUUCCUUUGGUUUUAUUGUUAUUGCAAAGCACAAAUGGACAAUAAGCAUAUAUGUAAAGUUGAGCUUUUUUUUUUUUAAUAUGGAAUUAAGUAGUCAGAUUGGAUUGGUUGGAUGGGUUUAUAUGGUUGGUUGGUUGGUUGGUUGGUUGGAAGAGGAAGUUGUUGUAUAUGUAAAAUGAGGGCUGGGAGGGAAAGAGAGAAGUAUGUAAGUGAAGGUGAAGAUGAAGGUGAAUGUGAAGGUGGGAGGAAAGAGAGGAGAUGGAGAUAUUUAUAUUAUAAUAUAGUCAGUCAGUCAUAUAAGGAAGGAGUAUGAAAGGAGCCCCAACAUUAUUUUGACUCUUUCACAAUAUAACUUCAUGUGCUUUUGUUAUAAAGUUUCCCAAAAAACAAUCCUUCUUUCCUUUCAACUUUAAGCAAGUGUUCUCUAACCUCAAAUAUAGGAGGAGGUUAUGCUAAACUACCUCCUGUUAUUGUUAUUACUAAAUUACUCACAUUAUAUCUCUACUUUACUUACUUAUGAAUGCAUUUAGGGGUACAUUUAGCCAAUCCCUUUUAAAAUUACAUCACCCGAACAUUACUUCACAAAAUUUAUGUAAACUACCCUAUAAGUAAUAUGGAAUGAACACUUAAUUGAUUGAUGUACCUGAAUGAAAAGUGUGUUUCUUGAAUUGAAUGUAUACCAAUUCAAAAGAUGUAGUAUAUCAUAUGGGGGGCUAGAAUUUGAUUUAAUUUGAUAGAAACAAUUGGGUAAAUGCAAACCAAGUAUU
This 1571-nucleotide long non-coding RNA is filed under the name Helianthus annuus (common sunflower). RNAcentral describes it as "hypothetical non coding rna". Lineage: Eukaryota; Viridiplantae; Streptophyta; Magnoliopsida; Asterales; Asteraceae. The record is from RNAcentral.